AAUAGAUACCCUGGUAGUCCACGCUGUAAACGAUGAGUGCUAAGUGUUAGAGGGUUUCCGCCCUUUAGUGCUGCAGCUAACGCAUUAAGCACUCCGCCUGGGGAGUACGGUCGCAAGACUGAAACUCAAAGGAAUUGACGGGGGCCCGCACAAGCGGUGGAGCAUGUGGUUUAAUUCGAAGCAACGCGAAGAACCUUACCAGGUCUUGACAUCCUCUGACAACUCUAGAGAUAGAGCGUUCCCCUUCGGGGGACAGAGUGACAGGUGGUGCAUGGUUGUCGUCAGCUCGUGUCGUGAGAUGUUGGGUUAAGUCCCGCAACGAGCGCAACCCUUGAUCUUAGUUGCCAGCAUUUAGUUGGGCACUCUAAGGUGACUGCCGGUGACAAACCGGAGGAAGGUGGGGAUGACGUCAAAUCAUCAUGCCCCUUAUGACCUGGGCUACACACGUGCUACAAUGGAUGGUACAAAGGGCUGCAAGACCGCGAGGUCAAGCCAAUCCCAUAAAACCAUUCUCAGUUCGGAUUGGUA
This 528-nucleotide ribosomal RNA is filed under the name uncultured bacterium. RNAcentral describes it as "bacterial SSU rRNA". It matches the Rfam family "Bacterial small subunit ribosomal RNA", at positions 777 to 1303 of the family's 1533-position model. The record is from RNAcentral.